This 1687-nucleotide long non-coding RNA is filed under the name Daphnia pulicaria. RNAcentral's name for it is "uncharacterized LOC124341518, transcript variant X1". Lineage: Eukaryota; Metazoa; Arthropoda; Branchiopoda; Diplostraca; Daphniidae. The record is from RNAcentral.
AUUUUAGCCAACCCUUCAUCCGUACAAUUGAACAGCCCUACAAUAGCCGCCAAUUCUUUAUCGAAGGCACCUAGUAGUGGAAUUUUGUACUGCUUUAUGGAAUUCUCAUUUUUUCCGUCUGCUUAGAUUUCGGAAUCAUCGUAAUGAAUUAAUGAUUGUGGCAUCGUGCUGAUAGAAGGACAAUUGAAGGUUGGUUAUUACGGGCUUACGGGUUAUUAUUAGAGCCACCUUUACGUUAACGGUUAAUCAAUUUGAACUCUUAUUACCCAACCCUGAACUGCUGGACCUAAACAUACAAUUUUGCUUGAAAUCGCAGAAAUCUCAAUCUCCACUCAGUUAAAUUUUUUUCCAUUGAGUCUGUUUCUGAAAGAAGGAUGUGUGCUGGGUGCUACUGGUUCUGUCUGGUUAGUGUUACAUCACUUAGAUUAAAUUUUAUGAAAAGUCUAGGUCUUUUGAGUACCUGAUGAAGUGAACACAAUCAUUCAAUGCCAGCCUAUUAGCCUAACCUACUCUAUCCUGAAUUGCUGAAGCUGUUAUUGAAUUGCCUGAUAUACUAGGUAUUCCAGUUUACAUGUUGAUCCACCUUAAGAUGAACAAGGAGCAAGGAAUGAGUGCAUGAGGGACAACAUAUCAGUGUCAGACAAUUGCUAGCCAGUGAGAAGAAUAUGGUGAUGGUGCUUAACCCUGUGGUAGGUAGUCCAGUUUGUGUGCAUGUUCAAGGGUUUGACAUUGAGGUAAUGUUGAAAUUUAUAAGAGAACCUAACCUGUAAAUGGAAACAGUUUUCUGGCUAUUUUCAGUGAAGAAAAUGACAACAACCAAGAUUUUAUUUGACUGGUUAUCACAGAUUAUCUACGGUUAUGUUAUUUUGCGUACCAUACUGAACAAGGAAUGUCUGGUUGUCCUUCCAAGAAAAACGACAAGGUUUGUUAAGCCUUCCCUUUGGCUACUACCCAUUGACCUCCAGCGCAGCGAUACCGGAAUAUUAACUCCAGCAUCACCUCCAACCGCAUGGCACUGCUCACUGGCGUGCAGUCCUUCCGUCGCCGGAAGCAUAGGAGAGUAGGGCGUGCUACCAGCAACAUUCGACUUCUCAACCGACGGCCCCCACUACUUCUUACUACUUAACACAGCACGGAGCUUUGAUCUUCAGAUUGUUUAGCUGUUUGUGAUUGGUGAUGACGCCAUGGCGGUUUCUUGGGGAAGAGGAGAUGAUAAUGAUUUUCGUCAGGAAAAUAUUGCAUGACAUCUGGCUGACAGAUUCGCCUUCAGUUGUUGGAGCGUACGCAUAGGCCGCUAGCCUUUUAGCCUCUACCUUCUUCUCAGUUGAAGCGUGGGUUUUGAUAGAAAGGCACCUAUUAAAACAUGGAGCUUCACUUCAGCCAUCUGAUUCAUCACUUGGAUCCAAGUGUGCAGGCUGCAUGAAUUUACGUUUGCUGUGAACAUCAAUUACAUGUCCACUGAUUGAAGGCCCUUAAAGUUAGAAUUCCAGUUUCAGUGACAUGAAGAGUGUGAAGUGAAUAACCUGCCAUGUGCUACAUUUACCAGAUCUGCUUGAUGAAAGUAAAAUGCCUUACUGAAUUCGUCACCCAAAUGAUAAAGCAUCAUUAUCACCUUUUGCCAUGCUACUACGAGUUACUGACUGAGAAGUUGCACCCACCUGCAGUCACUCGCCACAGGAUUAUGCCC